This 654-nucleotide ribosomal RNA is filed under the name Triticum aestivum (bread wheat). Its description in RNAcentral is "partial small subunit ribosomal RNA". The record is from RNAcentral. Lineage: Eukaryota; Viridiplantae; Streptophyta; Magnoliopsida; Poales; Poaceae.
AUGGACAGAAUGUUAAUUGACCUGGCUGGUCCGCACCCCCCACCUAUUGAGGAGGAGCCAUCUGUGUCUGCCCAAGCCUUCUAUAGGAUGGUUGCUAGUGCCGAUGAACCAGUCCAUGAGAACACAACACACUCACAUCUUUCUGCUAUUGCUCGUUUGCUAGCUUUAAAGUCACAGUACAACAUGUCCAUUGCAAACUAUGAUGCUGUCUUGCAACUUAUCCAUGAACUUCUCCCUGGAGAGUCUAAUAUGGCGAAGGACUUCUACCAUUCCAAGAAAUUAAUCGAGGGCCUAGGUAUGCCAUAUGUGAAAAUUGAUGUGUGUAAGAACAAUUGUAUGAUGUUCUACAAAGAUAACUUGCAUAAAGAAAAGUGUGACUUUUGUGGUAUAUCCCGCUAUGAAGAAGGCCAGAAUAAAGUUCCACGUAAAAUUCUGCAGUACCUCCCCCUUACAGAAAGACUACAAAGGCUAUAUGCACAUGAGGAGACAACAAAAGAUAUGCGAUCACAUAGGCCUUCUACUUCUGGUAACAUGGUUCGUCCAUGUGAUGGGGAAGCAUGGCAACAGUUCGAUAAGGAUUUUCCCUUGUUUUCGGGAGACCCAAGAAACGUGAGAUUAGUUUUUGCAAUGGAUGAUUUCACACCGUUCGUCUAA